GAUGAACGCUGGCGGCGUGCCUAACACAUGCAAGUCGAGCGAACGGACGAGAAGCUUGCUCCCCUGAUGUUAGCGGCGGACGGGUGAGUAACACGUGGAUAACCUACCUAUAAGACUGGGAUAACUUCGGGAAACCGGAGCUAAUACCGGAUAAUAUUUUGAACCGCAUGGUUCAAAAGUGAAAGACGGUCUUGCUGUCACUUAUAGACGGAUCCGCGCUGCAUUAGCUAGUUGGUAAGGUAACGGCUUACCAAGGCAACGAUGCAUAGCCGACCUGAGAGGGUGAUCGGCCACACUGGAACUGAGACACGGUCCAGACUCCUACGGGAGGCAGCAGUAGGGAAUCUUCCGCAAUGGGCGAAAGCCUGACGGAGCAACGCCGCGUGAGUGAUGAAGGUCUUCGGAUCGUAAAACUCUGUUAUUAGGGAAGAACAUAUGUGUAAGUAACUGUGCACAUCUUGACGGUACCUAAUCAGAAAGCCACGGCUAACUACGUG
Molecule: ribosomal RNA, 497 nt
Filed under: uncultured bacterium
Lineage: Bacteria
Description: partial 16S ribosomal RNA
Rfam family: Bacterial small subunit ribosomal RNA
Source: RNAcentral